UGAGGAAUUUUGCGCAAUGGCCGCAAGGCUGACGCAGCAACGCCGCGUGGGUGAUGAAGGCCUUCGGGUCGUAAAGCCCUGUCAGGUGGGAAGAAAGGCCUUAAGGAGAAAGACUUGAGGUUUGACGGUACCACCAGAGGAAGCACCGGCUAACUCCGUGCCAGCAGCCGCGGUAAUACGGAGGGUGCGAGCGUUAUUCGGAAUUACUGGGCGUAAAGCGCGUGUAGGCGGGGGACAAGUCUGAUGUGAAAGCCCUGGGCUUAACCUGGGAAGCGCAUUGGAAACUGUUUUCUUGAGUACUGGAGAGGAAGGGGGAAUUCCCGGUGUAGAGGUGAAAUUCGUAGAGAUCGGGAGGAAUACCAGUGGCGUAGGCGCCCUUCUGGACGGUAACUGACGCUG
This 399-nucleotide ribosomal RNA is filed under the name uncultured bacterium. Its description in RNAcentral is "bacterial SSU rRNA". It matches the Rfam family "Bacterial small subunit ribosomal RNA", at positions 355 to 748 of the family's 1533-position model. The record is from RNAcentral.